CCCGCACAAGCGGUGGAGCAUGUGGUUUAAUUCGAUGCAACGCGAAGAACCUUACCUACUCUUGACAUCCAGAGAACUUUCCAGAGAUGGAUUGGUGCCUUCGGGAACUCUGAGACAGGUGCUGCAUGGCUGUCGUCAGCUCGUGUUGUGAAAUGUUGGGUUAAGUCCCGCAACGAGCGCAACCCUUAUCCUUUGUUGCCAGCGGUCCGGCCGGGAACUCAAAGGAGACUGCCAGUGAUAAACUGGAGGAAGGUGGGGAUGACGUCAAGUCAUCAUGGCCCUUACGAGUAGGGCUACACACGUGCUACAAUGGCGCAUACAAAGAGAAGCGACCUCGCGAGAGCAAGCGGACCUCAUAAAGUGCGUCGUAGUCCGGAUUGGAGUCUGCAACU
RNAcentral lists this ribosomal RNA (392 nucleotides) under Enterobacter cloacae. RNAcentral's name for it is "bacterial SSU rRNA". It matches the Rfam family "Bacterial small subunit ribosomal RNA", at positions 920 to 1312 of the family's 1533-position model. The record is from RNAcentral. Lineage: Bacteria; Pseudomonadati; Pseudomonadota; Gammaproteobacteria; Enterobacterales; Enterobacteriaceae.